Argiope bruennichi is the source of this 752-nucleotide long non-coding RNA. RefSeq lists it as uncharacterized. The transcript has 3 exons. The record is from RefSeq and is a predicted model, not a curated record. NCBI's taxonomy places the organism in Eukaryota, Metazoa, Arthropoda, Arachnida, Araneae, Araneidae.
CUUCGCUUAAAAUAUUAGUACUGAUACUUUGUUUACUGAAUGCUGCUUGAUGUACAUGCCAGGAAUUUGGCAUUUAAUACUGAAAUUCCUCAUGGGGUAAAAACUAAUUUUACUUUCAUUGAUGUUUCGAGUAACUCGAAUGAAAUCGUCUUGUAAGAGUUUAAAAUGGGAAUUCACUAACUGCAACUUCAAAUUCAACUAGUUAUGAAUCGUCGAUGCAAUCCAUGUAUGAAGAUGAAAGAUCACUUGAAGACCGUCACGGAAAUCUCGGGUGCUACUUCAAGUUGUCCCAAAGGAAUCCAUUACUAUUUAGUCUACCGAAAUUAAAUGGGUCCUAUGUGCUGAUGACGUUUCAAGGUUUAUACAACUCAAGAGGACACUUUCUGUCAAAUCUGACUGACGAAUACCUGGAUCAUUUUUCAUUCAAACACGCAAAAAAACUUGGUUAAAUCAAAAGGGUGAUAUAUAAUUGAGUGAAUUGUAAUCGGUAAUGUACCAGUUAUAUUUCACAGCCAUUAAAUUUCGAUCUAUGGAAUAAAUGAUCAUUUUAACUGCUGAAAUUAACUUUGAACCUAUAUAUUAUAAAGGGAACUUCAUUAAUCAUAAAUUAAUAAAAUUAAAUUUAAAAUUUCUUUAAAGCUACUUCAAAUUUUCUGUCCCAAGUUGUAAUCAGCUUCAAACGAAACGGACGUAACCAUUGAAAAUGAUAUCUAUAACUAAUAAUUGUAUUUUUAAUGUACAUGUUCGAUUCU